RNAcentral lists this ribosomal RNA (736 nucleotides) under uncultured bacterium. RNAcentral's name for it is "bacterial SSU rRNA". It matches the Rfam family "Bacterial small subunit ribosomal RNA", at positions 28 to 764 of the family's 1533-position model. The record is from RNAcentral.
GAUAAACGCUGGCGGCAUGCCUAAUACAUGCAAGUCGAACGGAGUUAAAGAUGCUUGCAUCAAUAACUUAGUGGCGAACGGGUGAGUAACACGUAGUUAACCUACCCAUUGGACUGGGACAACUUUUGGAAACGAAAGCUAAUACCGGAUAGGAAGAAAUUUUAAAGAAGCGUAAUGCUUCACCAAUGGAAGGGACUGCGUCUGAUUAGCUAGUUGGUAGGGUAAGAGCCUACCAAGGCGACGAUCGGUAGCCGGACUGAGAGGUUGAACGGCCACACUGGGACUGAGACACGGCCCAGACUCCUACGGGAGGCAGCAGUAGGGAAUCUUGCACAAUGGACGGAAGUCUGAUGCAGCAAUGCCGCGUGAGUGAAGAAGUUUUUCGGAAUGUAAAACUCUGUUAUAUGGGAAGAAAGACUAGAGCAGGAAAUGGCUUUAGUGUGACGGUACCAUAUGAGGAAGGGACGGCUAACUACGUGCCAGCAGCCGCGGUAAUACGUAGGUCCCGAGCGUUAUCCGGAAUUAUUGGGCGUAAAGGGUACGCAGGUGGUUAUAAAAGUCUGAUGUGAAAUUUUUGUGCUCAACGCAAAAAGGUCAUUGGAAACUGUAUAACUUGAGAGCAGGAGAGGUAAGUGGAAUUCCUAGUGUAGCGGUGAAAUGCGUAGAGAUUAGGAGGAACACCAGUGGCGAAGGCGGCUUACUGGACUGUGUCUGACACUGAGGUACGAAAGCGUGG